RNAcentral lists this ribosomal RNA (396 nucleotides) under Triticum aestivum (bread wheat). RNAcentral's name for it is "partial small subunit ribosomal RNA". The record is from RNAcentral. Lineage: Eukaryota; Viridiplantae; Streptophyta; Magnoliopsida; Poales; Poaceae.
AUGAAGAGUUUUUAUGAAAAAGUGAGGAUCAAGAUUGCUUGCAGGAACCCAGCAAAAAACCCCUUUGAGAGAAUUAUGGAAAUGAGGAAAAAGUUGUAUAUCCUGUCAUUUACAAUGGAGGGCUUUGAGCAGAUAGGUGCUAAUGAUCCUAAUGAUGACAAUGGCCCUACUGACAUAUCUGUGGAUGAUGAUAAUAAGGAGUUUGAAGAUGAGGAGAUUGACAAGGAUAUCUUGGAUGAUGGAGAAGAACCGAUAGAUGAUCUGGACCUGGCCAACAGGGCCACCAACCCGAAGAAAUCCCCAGCUGGAAAACAAACAAACAAAGAAUAUGGCAUUACAUUCCAUCAUGCUGCUCUGAUUGAUGCCUGUUACUCUCCUGUGAGAGUUGAUAAAUAG